This 314-nucleotide RNase P RNA is filed under the name Duodenibacillus sp. RNAcentral's name for it is "RNase P RNA component class A". It matches the Rfam family "Bacterial RNase P class A". From Rfam's summary of the family: Ribonuclease P (RNase P) is a ubiquitous endoribonuclease, found in archaea, bacteria and eukarya as well as chloroplasts and mitochondria. Its best characterised activity is the generation of mature 5'-ends of tRNAs by cleaving the 5'-leader elements of precursor-tRNAs. The record is from RNAcentral. Lineage: Bacteria; Pseudomonadati; Pseudomonadota; Betaproteobacteria; Burkholderiales; Sutterellaceae.
AAAGUUCGCCGGACAGUCGUGGGCAGCCUGGUUCUGCACGAGGAAAGUCCGGACUCCGAAGAGCGCCGUAGCAGGUAACGCCUGUCCGCCGUGAGGCGAGGAUUAGAGCAACAGAGACGAGCCGGUUAAGUCCGGGUGAAACGGGCAAUCUCUACGGGGAGCAACACCAAAUAAGCAAUCGUUUGAUCUCGGCUCGGGAGAGAUUGUGGGUAGGUGGCUCGAGCCGUUAUGCGAAUAACGGUCUAGAUGAAUGACUGUCAUCGGCACGGCAUGCCGCGCCGACACUGAAUCCGGCUUACAAGCGGACUUUGCGU